This is a long non-coding RNA of Mytilus trossulus (common blue mussel), 600 nucleotides long. RefSeq lists it as uncharacterized. Lineage: Eukaryota; Metazoa; Mollusca; Bivalvia; Mytilida; Mytilidae. The record is from RefSeq and is a predicted model, not a curated record. The transcript has 4 exons.
AGGUACCAAUAUGCAAUUUGACAUCAAAAGAAAAAGCAUUUUUGGAUAGUGCACACCUGGAUGUAGAAGAUAAUGUUGAUACGGAAGAAUUAACAGUAGAAAAUACAGUAGUCAAUGAAAAUAGUCAGCAAAAACAGCUCGAUCUUCAGAAAGUAGCUGAACAGCAUGAAUUAAAUGGUAAAGUCAACAAAAAAACAUCACAGGAUACAGUAAACGAGGAACAUAGUUUUAGUGUUGACAGUUUAAAACAAACGGAACACGUUAAGGACAGAAGCACUACACCACAAUCUGUGCAUACAGAUGGGGUAUCCAUUGUACCAGUACCAGAGUGUGCACAUAUGAACGAGUUAUCUAUUGCGCCCUCACAAGAGAGACAAUUGUCAAAUCAGGAGUAUUUGGAAAAUCUGUGGAGACAGAAACUAGAAAAGAUUAACAGAGAAGCAUGGGAUAGGGAUUUGUAUCCUGUUGAGUUGUUUCCUAGGAAGUCCCAAGUGAUGGAAAUGCAAACAUUUAAUCCAAAUAUUAAUGACACAAUAGAUUUUAGACCAAAUUCAGCACUUAGCGCAGGAACAAAUGUAUUUCUGUCAGGGUAUUGGAAGA